AGAAAUGACUCUCGGCRACGGAUAUCUUGGCUCACGCAUCGAUGAAGAACGUAGCAAAAUGCGAUACUUGGUGUGAAUUGCAGAAUCCCGUGAACCAUCGAGUUUUUGAACGCAAGUUGCGCCCGAAGCCAUUCGCCGAGGGCACAUCUGCCUGGGCGUCACG
Molecule: ribosomal RNA, 163 nt
Filed under: Blumea densiflora
Lineage: Eukaryota; Viridiplantae; Streptophyta; Magnoliopsida; Asterales; Asteraceae
Description: 5.8S ribosomal RNA
Rfam family: 5.8S ribosomal RNA
About the family: 5.8S ribosomal RNA (5.8S rRNA) is a component of the large subunit of the eukaryotic ribosome. It is transcribed by RNA polymerase I as part of the 45S precursor that also contains 18S and 28S rRNA. Functionally, it is thought that 5.8S rRNA may be involved in ribosome translocation.
Source: RNAcentral